This 325-nucleotide ribosomal RNA is filed under the name Saemundssonia hexagona. RNAcentral describes it as "partial 12S ribosomal RNA". The record is from RNAcentral. Lineage: Eukaryota; Metazoa; Arthropoda; Insecta; Psocodea; Philopteridae.
AGAAGAACCUGCGCACACAAUCGGUAAAAAGGAUUUCUACUGGCGGUCUUCCAUCCCACUAGAGGCUUAUGCGCUGUAAGCGAAUUUGCGCGUCAAAUUCUUCCCUUCCUAGAUUAAUCCCACUCUGCCCACCACUGUCUGAAGGAGGCCGGAGGGGCCUCCUCUGAUCUGAUAGAGAUGUAAGACAAGCAACCGUGCAGGACAUGGGGGGGAUUGGGUGUAAGCCAAUCCGACAGAUCUGGCACUCUGUGAAAUCUGUGUUUAGAGAGAAUUUAGAAGUAAGAUAGGCUUAUAAUGCCAAUCUGAAUGGUGCUCUGGAAGACGU